AGAAAAUAGAAAUAAAGAGGAAAGCAAAGGGCACGAUACGGGCCCUUGGCUAUCAGUUUUCGUGCGUAUGUGUUCGUGUGAUUUGAUGUGAUCGAUCCUGAGGUGAAUUUUCAACAAUUUGUAUCUAGAGCAAGGUUCGAGGUGAAGCUGCGCUUGCUCCGGGGUGACGAACCGACUAGCACCUCGGAGCGGGCAAUACAGUCGCCGGUGUAGCGACGAAGAGGGGCGGGCAAUACAGUCGUUGGUGUAGAGACGAGGAAGAGCAGGUUGUUUAGUCGUUGGGCAUGCAACGACGUGGAGGAUCGGGCGGUUGUCGUUCGGCGGAACGGCAACGAGAAGGCAGCGAGGGCGUUGUCGCAAGCGAGACGACAGGUGAUUGUUGUUUGGCGGAACGACCUGGAGGAGGGCGACAGGGCUAUUGUCGGCAAGGCGUUGGUGACCGUUGAUGGUUAUGGAGAUGCCGAAGUUGCGACACCGAGAAAAUCAUCGUUGGAGGGUGCAAGGUGGAGAUGGCGAAGUUGCGAGCUGUCAUCAAGGUGUACAGAUGAGUUCUUGUAAGGUGUGUCCAAGAGCUCAGGCGUGUGAAUCUUCUGCUGCAGAUGAGAUACGUCACUGGCAGAAGAGUUGAGAGUGAGAGCGGAUGGAAAAAGGAAAAUGUGCCUCGUGUUUCCGUUCGUUGUGCGGAGUUCCGGCGAGUUCAUAUACGGUGGAGAUGAGUUGCACGUAUAUGGCGAGUUGUGUUGCCGCUGGACAGGAGGUGUCGUUUGAUAAGAUGUGGCAUCGGCGACACUGAGAAGAUGUGAAGAUGUGACGGGUGAAGAGAUGUGUCUACCCGUAUGCAAGCAACCGACAAGAAGAUGAAGAUCAACGUGAAGAUGGACACGCACCAGUUAAGUUGAGUUCUUGCAUGAGGCUAUGCGUUCAGUCUGCAUGUAGCACGCUAAGAUGUGACAGCGUGGCUGGUAGUCCGGGUAAUCGUUGGUUAGUCUAUGAAUCGGUAUGCAAACGAAGUUGAGGUGACGAUCAAGUGGUGGCCAUCGUUGCAUGAAGAGAGAAGUUGUGAUCCGGUAAGUCUCGUUACCGGAGGCAACUCACGUGACAAGAUGAAUAGAGAAUCGUCUGCGUGUCCCGUUCAUGUAAAAGAGUCAGAUAGAGUAGAUGUUUGAAUUAGGGGGUGAAUGUUGGAAUAAUCCAAACAUGUUACUAAAAGAUUUAGCUAGGUAAGUCAAAUUACGUGGCGUUUGGCUUGCAUGCCAUCUUGCGGUACAUGCGUGUUGAGUCCGGUAAGGAUUAGUAGUGUGAUCAGUGUCGCCGGUAAUUAGAUUAAGAUUAGAAAAGAGUCCUUAUAUGUACGGCAAGAAAGAAGGUUGCCCGUACGAGCUUAGUUUGUGUUUGAGUCGGAUAAUUGAUGGUUAGCUGUUUAUGAAUAGGUCGAGUAGGUCGAGUCGGUUUGUCUAGGUCAGGUUGAUGCAUAUAUAUAUAUGCCUGUAUAUGCUAGUUUUGUAACAGUGAAAAGAGAAAACCAGAAAAUAGAAAUAAAGAAAAAAACAAAGGGCACGAUACGGGUCCUUGGCUAUCAGUUUUCGUGCGUGUGUGUCCAUGUAAUUUGAUGUGAUCGAUCCUGAGGUGAAUUUCCAACACAUGCUCCUGAUCUAGAAGAAUUGCGACGCGUCCAGGGUGGGACUGCUCUCCAAUACGGACUCCAGCUCAUUCUUGGACCGAAAGAAUUCCAGAUAGUGGCCCAUGAUGGAUGGAUGAUAUGAGGUGAUCUGGGUGCUGCAUUUGAUGGCCAUGAUCUGUUUGCUGCAGGCCAACUCCCUGCUUGUGGCCUCUGAAGGAGACAACUUCCAGUUCCAGUAGACCUAUCCGAUAGAAUUCUCGAAGCUAUUAGCCUGCAAGCUCUCAAUCAGGUAUUGUAUUCGCAACUUAGCGUAUUUUUUUACUGAAGUUUGGUGCCUAACUCCCAAACAUCUUUUGUCAAUGGUAAGAAUGUAGAUGUUGACAACUUGACAUAAAUUUUAUGCUUUCUGCAAGAAGAGUGGUAUCAAUAUUAAUAGAGAAGUAGACAUUGUUUGAAUUAUUCUUGAUUAUUUGUGUUAUGUUAAUAGCUGCCUGCUCUGUUCUUAACUGUGUAUCCUUGCUCCUUGGUCCCCUGUCAACUGUACAAAAGGUAAUUUAUCAGAAUCUUACAGCCUUUUAGCUGCACCUGAGCCUAUGAGGUUCCUUAGUUUCACCGCUGAAC
Triticum aestivum (bread wheat) is the source of this 2242-nucleotide long non-coding RNA. RefSeq lists it as uncharacterized. NCBI's taxonomy places the organism in Eukaryota, Viridiplantae, Streptophyta, Magnoliopsida, Poales, Poaceae. The record is from RefSeq and is a predicted model, not a curated record. The transcript is spliced from 3 exons.